GGGCGUCUCUAUCUCAUUGCGAGAGGAGGCGCACCCAGAGCGUACACGCUGAUACCCGAAAGAUGGUGAACUAUGCCUGGCCAGGACGAAGCCAGGGGAAACCCUGGUGGAGGUCCGCAGCGAUUCUGACGUGCAAAUCGAUCGUCGGAGCUGGGUUUAGGGGCGAAAGACCAAUCGAACCAUCUAGUAGCUGGUUCCCUCUGAAGUUUCCCUCAGGAUAGCUUGCGCUCGGAAACAACGAGUCUCAUCCGGUAGAGCGAAUGAUUAGAGGCCUUGGGGUCGAAACGACCUCAACCUAUUCUCAAACUCCAAAUAGAUGAGAACCCCGGCUUUCUUGAACUCUGUUUAUGAAGCCGGGGGCUCGGAUCAGAGUGCCAAGUGGGCCAAUUUU
RNAcentral lists this ribosomal RNA (391 nucleotides) under Lygocoris sp. SJ-2010. RNAcentral's name for it is "eukaryotic LSU rRNA". It matches the Rfam family "Eukaryotic large subunit ribosomal RNA", at positions 763 to 1138 of the family's 3401-position model. The record is from RNAcentral. Lineage: Eukaryota; Metazoa; Arthropoda; Insecta; Hemiptera; Miridae.